AUAAACAGAUAUUACUUUAAUAGCACGUAGCAUGGAGGCAGAUAACCUGCUGAAGAAACUUCAAGAGAAAUUCCAAGUUCUGUCGGACCAAUUAACACAGAGACAUAUCUUUUUGCAUAACACUGAAAUGAAACUGUGGUGAAGAAUCUGCUGUACAUGUUAUAUAUUAUAUUCAAUAUUAUAUAUGUUAAAUUAAGAGCGUAUCUUGUAAACUAUAUUAUAAUGUAAGUUUAAUUAUCCAAAAAUGAAUGUGUUAAGCAAUACAUGGGGGGGUAUUUUCAUCAGUUUUAAA
Long non-coding RNA from Xenopus laevis (African clawed frog), 292 nucleotides. RefSeq lists it as uncharacterized. The record is from RefSeq and is a predicted model, not a curated record. The transcript has 3 exons. NCBI's taxonomy places the organism in Eukaryota, Metazoa, Chordata, Amphibia, Anura, Pipidae.